RNAcentral lists this ribosomal RNA (396 nucleotides) under uncultured bacterium. RNAcentral's name for it is "partial 16S ribosomal RNA". It matches the Rfam family "Bacterial small subunit ribosomal RNA", at positions 523 to 918 of the family's 1533-position model. The record is from RNAcentral.
AUACGUAGGGGGCAAGCGUUAUCCGGAUUUACUGGGUGUAAAGGGAGCGUAGACGGCAAAGUAAGUCUGAAGUGAAAGCCCCGGGCUCAACCCGGGAACUGCUUUGGAAACUAUUUAGCUAGAGUGCAGGAGAGGUAAGUGGAAUUCCUAGUGUAGCGGUGAAAUGCGUAGAUAUUAGGAGGAACACCGGCGGCGAAGGCGGCUUACUGGACUGUAACUGACGUUGAGGCUCGAAAGCGUGGGGAGCAAACAGGAUUAGAUACCCUGGUAGUCCACGCCGUAAACGAUGAUCACUAGGUGUUGGGAGGCAAAGCCUUUCGGUGCCGCAGCUAACGCAAUAAGUGAUCCACCUGGGGAGUACGUUCGCAAGAAUAAAACUCAAAUGAAUUGACGGGG